UGAAACCAAAACUGAAAACCAUAAGCACGAAGCUUAGUGAGCUCCCCCAAUCUACCACAUACCAUACAAUAACAUAUAAAGCACAUACUGGGCCUUGCCCACUGCAUCGGACCGAAGUCCGGGCUAACUGGGGCCUUGCCCCCUACAUCGGACCGAAGUCUGGACUAACUGGGACCUUGUCCCCUGCAUCGGACCGAAGUCCGGACUAACUGAGACCUUGUCCCCUGCAUCGGACCAACGUCCGGGCUAACUGGGGCCUUACCCCCUGCAUCGGACCGAAGUCCGGACUAACUGGGACCUUGUCCCCUGCAUCAGACCGAAGUCCGGGCUAACCGGGGCCUUGCCCCCUGCAUCAGACCGAAGUCCGGACUAACUGGGACCUUGUCCCCUGCAUCGGACCGAAGUCCGGGCUAACUGAACAGAACAUAGCAUAAACAUAUCAACUAGCAUGAACACACAUAUACUGCAUACUACAUCGGGCCGUGGCCCGGAACACAUAACACAUAAUUCCUGUUUGAGCCACGAAGGCAUCAAACAUACUAAAUACUACAUCAGAUAAAAAUACGGAAACUGCUACUAGCUAAACGGGUCGGCGUUGUGGCCUUAGACCCGUUCCUACUGGAAGGAAACUCACCUGAGACUGCUGAACUGAUGCUGCUAAUCCUUUGACUGCUACUUGACCUCUGACUCCGAACUGCUGCUCCACUAGCUCCUCGAGCUACCAAUGCCAAAAUAACACUUAGUCCAACUGACCUCCAAAGGUCAACUAGGUCAACUCUAGUCAAGGUCAAAAUCCUGGUCAAAGUCAACCUUCCAGGUCAACCCUACUCGCCGAGUCCACCUAAUAACUCGCCGAGUUCAUAUGCUCAGGGUCCUUCUAUUCGCGACUCGACUCGCCGAGUCAACUAUUCCCGAGUCCUGACCUGUCCAACUCACCGAGUCCUUGCUCGACUCGCCGACUCGAGUCUUAACUCGAAGGGUUUGGGACUACGCGAACUGAUUCACUAAGUCUAAGAACAGACUCGCCGAGCAUAAGGCAAUCUUCAACCAACUCGCCGAGUUGUUCAUCCAACUCGUCGAGUUCAUGCCCAUCUUCAACCGACUCGACGAGCUGUUCAUCCCACUCGUCGAGUUCCUCCUCAUCUUCAAGCUACUCGCCGAGUCCACUCGAAGGACUCGUCGAGUCCACUAAGAUCCACUUACAUGCAGAGGACUUCCGAGUCAUGCAUGAGCUCCA
Molecule: long non-coding RNA, 1237 nt
Filed under: Lactuca sativa (garden lettuce)
Lineage: Eukaryota; Viridiplantae; Streptophyta; Magnoliopsida; Asterales; Asteraceae
Description: long non-coding RNA (LSAT_LNC007232)
Source: RNAcentral